GUCCCUGUAGCUCAGUGGAUAGAGCGCUUCCCUGCGGAGGAAGAGGUCAGCCGUUCAAGUCGGCUCAGGGAUACAA
RNAcentral lists this transfer RNA (76 nucleotides) under Candidatus Falkowbacteria bacterium CG10_big_fil_rev_8_21_14_0_10_38_22. Its description in RNAcentral is "tRNA-Arg". It matches the Rfam family "tRNA". From Rfam's summary of the family: Transfer RNA (tRNA) molecules are approximately 80 nucleotides in length. Their secondary structure includes four short double-helical elements and three loops (D, anti-codon, and T loops). Lineage: Bacteria; Candidatus Falkowiibacteriota. The record is from RNAcentral.